GUACAUGUAUAUGUAUUUUUUUCAGAUCAUGUCCAGGCAAGCAAAGCGCAAACAUGAGGAUAUUUCGCCUGGUGAUUAUACAAUUUGUAUUGAAUCUGCGGACAAACUUGCUGGAGCAUGUAGAGCCACGAUUGGUUUUCAACUUCUUGGAAACGGCAUAGAAGGUGACGAGGAUGAAUUUGCGUACAUGAAUUUCCUAAACAUUUUAUCAGAGGGCAUAAAAACUCUUUCAAAAUAGUUGAACCAAAGAUUAAAGACGUCGACGGUAUUAAGCUCCGUGGAGAAACUAUGGUAGGAGAAGAUGGCUGGAAAAUAGACAGAAUUACCGUUACUAACGAGAAAAACGGGGGAUAAGAAGAUCGUUCCAGUUUUUACGUCCAUUGCUAGGAACAAUGUUUACCUAUUCAAGGCUAACGAUGUGUGUUUGCCACACAAGUCACCUGGCAAUGAAAAAAAAAGGCAGCAAGAACUUGACAAAGUAAGGAAAAUUUAUGAGCUCUCCGACGACAAAUUACCUGGGGCACCUCCGCUUAUAAAAGAGAUACCUUCAUGUGAAAAAUUUCGUUGUCGAGAUAAAUUGUUAAUUGCUGUAAAAAUGG
Ruditapes philippinarum (Manila clam) is the source of this 599-nucleotide long non-coding RNA. RefSeq lists it as uncharacterized. The transcript has 3 exons. The record is from RefSeq and is a predicted model, not a curated record. Lineage: Eukaryota; Metazoa; Mollusca; Bivalvia; Venerida; Veneridae.